CUCGAAAUGUUUUGAAAGCAUUUCCCAAAACAGUUCAUGAAAAAAGAGAGGGGGCAGCGGAAUUGUGUGUGUUUUUUUUUUUUUUUUUUUUUUUU
This 95-nucleotide non-coding RNA is filed under the name Ctenophora environmental sample. The record is from RNAcentral. Lineage: Eukaryota; Metazoa; Ctenophora.